AGGGGGGAUGUGUGGUAGAAAUUAAUGAGUACAUUCUAUGGUAAACCAUGAUUAUUAUUAGGCCUUAUAUCUUAAUGGUAGAAGACACAUGAUACCUGCAGAGCCUGGGGUCAGAACAGAUGGUGGGACACAGAAAUGAGCAGGAAGCUACGGGGUUAAGCCAUGUUGACCUCAGCCUUCAGCCUUGGGUCAUUUUGGCUACGGGGUUAAUGCAUGCUGGCCUCAGACUGGUGUCCAAAAUCACUUUGUUGAUAAUAUGCUGAGACGAAGAUUGAUGUGGGCGGAAACCUCCAUUGGGACAAAGGAAUUAUUGUAUGUGUGUAUAAAGAGAAGCUGGAAUCGAUGUUCGAGCAGUGACUCUAUAGAUCUACUCAGGCUGUUAUCGUUGUUGUUUUUCUUCACGAUAAAGUAUUUUGUCAAUUCUUGCUCCGGACCCCUCGAUUUAUUUUACAAUUUCUCUCUUGAAUUAGUCUAAGUGCUUUAUAUCUCGGUUAAUCUUCAACAUAUUGGUGUCACGAACAGGAGGAAAUAGGGACUCGCCAGCUGCCGGGCCAGAGGACGGGACGCGAACGGAUCAUACGACCAGAGCUCAAGGUUGCCCUGAUGUGUAUCUUUUACGCACACACACGCUGCAUAGGGCAGAUGCGGCUGAAGACUCUGUCUCCAUUCCUCCACUUUGCGAUCUAUACCACCAUAUAGGUGGGGAUUGAUCGUAUCCCAG
This is a long non-coding RNA of Gadus macrocephalus (Pacific cod), 721 nucleotides long. RefSeq lists it as uncharacterized. NCBI's taxonomy places the organism in Eukaryota, Metazoa, Chordata, Actinopteri, Gadiformes, Gadidae. The record is from RefSeq and is a predicted model, not a curated record. The transcript is spliced from 2 exons.